UUUACAUUCCAUUGAAUUGGCAGUCCAGGUAUAUUUAUUAAGUUCGUGAAACAGGUUCGAUAGAAACAACAUAGAUAAUUAUCGACCUAUCAGCUUAUUAUCACUUAUAUAUAAUUGCUUAGAAACCAACCGGUUGACGACCACGUAUUGCAUCUUCUAAAACCAAGACUUCAAUAUUAUCCAAUGAUGUGUUUUAAUACAGGAGAGAAAAAAGUAUUAAACUGCCCUCUCCUGUGGUAAGCAUCAUUACAUUUAUGGAAAAUACCAAUGCGACUUUGUCAGACGUCAGACACAAGCCCUAUGAGGAUGAAGAUAACGAGGAGGAUGGAUUCACCGAUGAGCAUGAUGCAAUCUUCAUUUUUCAGUAAUCAUUAGUAUUUUUUUCAUGCCAAAAGUGUUUAUUUGUUUUAGCUUCUUUUGUACCAAAGUAUUUUAUUCUAUUUUUUAUACCAAGCAGAGGUUUCUAUUUUUUGUUAGAUAUUUUUAAGGAGUUUUUUAAUAAAUACCUGAGAAUGAUUUAUUUAC
Long non-coding RNA from Anthonomus grandis grandis, 525 nucleotides. RefSeq lists it as uncharacterized. The record is from RefSeq and is a predicted model, not a curated record. Lineage: Eukaryota; Metazoa; Arthropoda; Insecta; Coleoptera; Curculionidae. The transcript is spliced from 2 exons.